RNAcentral lists this transfer RNA (67 nucleotides) under Rhyacionia leptotubula (pine tip moth). Its description in RNAcentral is "tRNA-Trp". Lineage: Eukaryota; Metazoa; Arthropoda; Insecta; Lepidoptera; Tortricidae. The record is from RNAcentral.
AAGGUUUUAAGUUAAUUUAAACUAAUAGUCUUCAAAAUUACAUAUAAAGAAAUUUCUUUAAGCCUUA